GUGCUCGCUUCCGCAGCACAUAUACUAAAAUUGGAAAAUUGGAAGAUUAGCAUGGCCCCUGUGCAAGGAUGACACACAAAUUCAUGAAGCAUUCCAUAUUUUU
RNAcentral lists this small nuclear RNA (103 nucleotides) under Dasypus novemcinctus (nine-banded armadillo). The record is from RNAcentral. Lineage: Eukaryota; Metazoa; Chordata; Mammalia; Cingulata; Dasypodidae.